ACAGCCAUACCAUGCUGAAUAUAUCGGUUCUCGUUAGAUCACCGAAGUCAAGCAUCAUUGGGCGCGGUCAGUACUUGGGUGGGUGACCACCAGGGAACACCGCGUGCCGUU
This 111-nucleotide ribosomal RNA is filed under the name Caerostris darwini. The record is from RNAcentral. Lineage: Eukaryota; Metazoa; Arthropoda; Arachnida; Araneae; Araneidae.